Macrosteles quadrilineatus (aster leafhopper) is the source of this 1076-nucleotide RNA transcript. RefSeq lists it as uncharacterized. NCBI's taxonomy places the organism in Eukaryota, Metazoa, Arthropoda, Insecta, Hemiptera, Cicadellidae. The record is from RefSeq and is a predicted model, not a curated record. The transcript has 7 exons.
AAACAGAAGAUGAUACAAAUUUAUUCAAAGUUUAGUGAUUGAAAUUUCUCAGGAGAAUGGCCCUUCACUCAUUCUGUGGGAUCUUGACCCUCCAAGUGGGCGUUGCCAUCAUAGCUGUUGUUUUUUGGAUGAUAGCAACACUAACAUUUGUUGUAAAUUUUUUUGAAUUCUUCAAUAGUGAUGCUUUUCCUGUCUAUGCUCUCACCAUCUCAACUUUUGUAAUUCUUCUCAUGUUGGCUGGGUUGAUUGCAUUCUUCUCAGCUUAUAAUGAGAGCAACUCCCUGUGUAUGACGGGGGUGGCGCUCACUUGUCUGAUAACAGUUGUGUGGGUCAUCAUUUCUUCCCUUUCCUUUUACAAUGAUCAUUCCAUUCUCAAAUUUGUUUGUAUACAGAAUCGCUGUCCAGAGACUUUUUGGUUAGCCCCUCUAAAAUACAGACUGUCACACAAACAAGAAGAACAUAUUGAUGAAGAACAAGAUGAUUCGUUUACUGAUCCCAGUGAAGAUUCCAAGCAACUUAAGAGAAAGAGAAGUGUUGACAGUCAUAUGAUUGUACAGCUUUCACUUGAAUAUGAUGACUGGCUCAGAAAAAGAAGAGAUACAAAUAAUAAUGCAAUAGUUGGUGACAACAAUGAUCCUGGAGAUACAAAUGACACCGAAGUCUACAAAAGUCGCUACAUAUUCGGCAUGCCUCUGAUUGGUGCUGUCGUUCUCUUCAUAUGCAAUUUUUUCCUUUUCCUGUUCUCAAUCUUGGUCUUGUGGAGCUAUGGGCAAGAGCUGGCCUGGACAAAUUCAUAUCUACGAGAUAUACCUGACUACACAACUACUUGAGUAGCUCGGCAUAGCAAAAGUAUGAGGCUCUCAACUUCAACUUUCCCCCCAAUUGUUAAUUACUACUACUAAAUUGCCAAAAAGUGCAAUGAAGAUAUCAAAAGAAUGAUUAGAAGAAACAACUAACCAAAAAUUGAUUAUUUUGGUCACUUCUAUUUUUUUAAAGAUGCAGAUCUAAAAAAAAACCUCUAAAUCGUUGUCAGAAAUAUUUUGAUUUUUGUCAGUAAUAAAUUGAAAUUUCAGUAA